ACACACACACACACACACACACACACACACACACACACGCACACACACACACACACACACUCACUCGCGCACACAGUAAGGUGAAUUGAAUGAAGACUUUUUUCGUUUAGAAGUUUGAAUCUAAAUCAGUCAAAUCAGACUCAUUCCUUUAAUUAAAAUGAGGGAGGUCAUUUAAGAUCAAACACAGAGCUGAAAUAGCCUCUCACUGUUACCAAGAAGACCACAGGGUGCCGAACCUGCCAGGUGGUUUUCUUAAUUAGUUAAUUGGUUGCAUCUGGUGUGUUUCACUUAAAAGGGAACCGGACAGCACAUUUGUUUGUACUGUCUCUUCCAGUUUCACAGGUUAAAGACUUUUUGAAGUAAAGAGGAGCAUCUCCUCUGAACCUGUUGUCUAUCAUGGAUAUCUAACUGCAGUUCUGUGAGUAACCCAACGUGACCAUGAAGCAUAACUGCAAACUGUAAGUCAUUAAUUUCUCAUUACUCUGGGCACAUUGAUGUAUUUUGGCUUCCUGGUGAGUUAACCGGUUAAGGUUGUUUUAUUGGUUCAUUGGUUACUUAGGUGUUUGGUUUAUGUUGGUUUAAAUGAUUUGUUAAAAUGGUUACAGGCUCCAAGUUAUUGUUGUAAGCUGGAGUAAUGGGUUGGGUUCUGAUAUCUUCAGUCUUCUUUCAUUCUACUCUCCUGAGCUCUGCAUCUUCAUUACAUGAGUUGCUUUACUAAUGAGGGUGUGGUCUGAGUGAUCAGAGGUGCAUACUGGGGUAAAGAGACGUCUCGAGUCUACAGGUCUGUAGACACGCCCCCUCAGGGGAAACCGAGUGUUUGAGAAACUGUCGUGUCGUCAGUUACAUGGACUGGAAUGUUCUUAAAGAUGGAGACAGGGUUUCAGAAGGAGAAACAACAGGGGGAGAUGUGGGGGCUCCUCAUCUCAACGACUAAAACACAACUUCAGUCUGACAGAGAACCAUGGAACACAUUCAACAGUCCCCUCCAGGCAUCGUGACUCCUCAGGAACGGUUUCAUUUCCAAGGAGUCUUAUUUGGGGCCAUCCCCAUAUGGAUCCUGCUCCUCAAGAGCCACCCCCCUCCACUGGGUGGUCUUCUGAACAGAUGAUCUCCUUCCUGUCCUUAGGCUGACUAAAGCUGCACCGUUUGCAUCUGUGAAGGCCCCUCAUUCAGGAAACCACUGGACUACAAAGACAUGACUUCAGAAAUGUUGAAUCCACCUAGGACCCAUUUUGGAGACGCCAAGCAUAAUCCAUCACCAAUGUGGGACGCCACUGAAGAAUGUUGUACAUAAUUUACGUCUCUGGAGACAUUGGUUGUUCUGUUCUGGGUGCCCUGGCAGGAGAGCUGGGGGGGGGGGGGGGGGAAAUGUUAUUUGCUAUGAGGUUUUUACCCUGCAUGAUUGUUUGGCCUUUUAUGGCUCAGAGGUGUGUGUUUGGGUUUGACAUGAGAUGGAAGAUUUUUGAGGUGUGUGUGUGUGGAGGCCUGGUGCGAGUGUGUGUGCUUAUGUGGAGGCCUGGUGCGUGUGCGUGUGUGUGUGUGUGUGUGUGCCUGUCCUGGGUUCUAUGUGUGUCCGGCUUGCUUUGACAGUGAUAAUGUUCAUACGGGGGUCUGUGUGAUUGGCUUGGGAUAUUGGAAUGGUCAACUAAAUCAUACCUGAUGGAUGGCCGCACGUUUACUUAAGGGCCUCCAGUAGACAUGAAGAGCCCUGAGCGAUGCUCCGGAGCGAGAUCCAACACACUGGGCAGGAAGGAGAGUGUCCAACUCAAGUGUAAAAGGAUGCAAGCGGCGUGUUCAGAGCAGUGACUUCAAACUAGGACUACACCAAUCAGGAUCAAUGGAGGAUGGACACCAAAAGGGAUUCCACAAGGAGAGUCUGAUGUUGGAAAGGGACCUAAAUGGAUAUUCAAGAUGACCUUCAGACCUGUAAUGAGACGGCUCUUCCUACCUGGCUGGAUUGAUGGAGAGCCCUGUGGAUCUUGUCUUGCUCCCAUUUGCACGUCUUCUCAGGCUGAACUGUAAUUGUUUCGGACAGGACUAGCUGAACGAUUGGUUCCCUUAAAUCAGAACCAAUCCGGGAACUCGAGCUAGUGCGCUCUUCGAGCUGAAGUUGUGCCCUUCAGUUGAGGGGGUAAGGAAACCUUCACUGGGGCUUCAAGGUGUAAAGAGGAGAAUGUUUCAAAGUGUUCCAUGGUACUCUGAUGACGCCCGUUGUUGUGUUCCGCUGGCUGCGUUCCGCUGGCUGCGAGGGAGAACCCUCACAUCUUCCUCUUGGUCUUUCUCCUCUGAGAAUCCUGGCGCCAUCUUGAAGGAUAUUCCAGCUCAUGUAACUGAUGUCACGACAGAUUCUCAAACACUUGGGUUCUCCUGAGGGGCGUGUCUACGGAACUGAAGACUUCAGACAGCACUGUAUCCCAGCAUGCACCUCUGCUCACUCAGACCACACCCCCAUGAGUAGGAUGCAACACUCUAGUGAUGGAGAUGUAGAGUUUUAUAAGUAGCGAGGGAGCAGACUAAGGUAAUGGAAUGUCAAGUCUGUAAAUCUUUAUUGUGGGCAGUGCUUUCACUCAGAUUCCUACUUCUCACUGGAGCUGUACAUGUGUUGGCUAGCUGGCAUGAUUUGCUGUUGGUGUUGAGGCGGUCAGGGUGACGUUGCAGGCCUAUGGUCGGCUCUCUUGGAGCUCAACGUUUAGAUUUGCUCUGUAUGGUUUGAAUAAUCUAGAUAAUUGUAAAAUGUAGACACGGUUUUGUAUUGAAUAAUUCCCGGAUUUUAGGUUUAAAGUUGUUGUGGGACGUACAUGGUAGUUUGGUUCUUCGUAUGGUUUUGAGUGAUAUAACUUGUACACACUGGGUGCAUAAUAAUGUAAAGGUACACUGAAUUGUAUUAAUGACCAACAGCAACAAACAGAUCUCCUUAAGGUAAGUCUGUUGGCUGUGUUUUAAUGAAGACCAUCGCUGGACUUCAGGAUCUUCCUUCCGCUCAGCUCAAGGUGAGGCGCUGGUUAUGUUUUUUCUUUGGUUGGUUCCGGCCGGAAUGUUCGGAUUCCAGUCGGACGGUUUGUGCUUCCCGCCGUGGAAGGUUCUGAGUGCGGUCACUUGAUUUAGUCCCAAUGGUUAGCAUCGAACGUUGUAGUCUUGACAACCAUAAGAAACCACCUGGCAGUUAGUUUGACGGGAGUCCCCUGAGGGAAUCUGGCGGAACGUUCUUGAUUGUAUUUGAGUAACCUCGAGGCGUUGCCAAUGGAAACUACUUUUCAGUCGGUUUCCAUUGGGAAUUGUUGCCCCUAUCUUAAACAACUAAAGUUUGAUAAUAAAUACAUACUGAGACGUACGUCGUACAAUAUGUUGGUAAUUUCCGAUGGUUGCGCCGUACUUUUAACCACGAUGACCUUGCGGGACUCUCACUGCGUACAAAACUGAGUUCUACUUGCGGGCCCAUUUUUGACGGGCUGAAGGCUGAAAAUCAUUUCAAGGUGGAAGAUAAUUUGACAUUUCUUCAACGGAACCCAGCUCCUGAAUACGGCAGAGUACGUUUGAUUUAAUAUCGAUACUGCUUAGUGUUCUUUGUUACUUCAGCUUUUGUACGUUCAAAAUAUCGGCUGACAAUUGCCACAGAAGUUAAACCCUACCCAAUGGAAUGACGUUAAACAACCACUUUGGUGCAGAGUUACCAACUGGAUAAUAUCAAAGCUAAAAUAAUGGCCGUCAUUCCCACAUGUUACAGUAGAAGAUACUCUAGAACUGUACAAGGUAAAAAAAGGUAACAUGUAGUUUGUCCCAAGGUGUCCGCCUCCUCACCCUGAGCAAGACCUCCACCUCCUCACCCAGAGCCAGACCUCCACCUCCUCACCCAGAGCCAGACCUCCACCUCCUCACCCAGAGCCAGACCUCCACCUCCUCACCCAGAGCCAGACCUCCACCUCCUCACCCAGAGCCAGACCUCCACCUCCUCACCCAGAGCCAGACCUCCACCUCCUCACCCAGAGCCAGACCUCCACCUCCUCACCCAGAGCCAGACCUCCACCUCCUCACCCAGAGCCAGACCUCUACCUCCUGUCAGAAGUCCUCCAGAACGGCUGAAAGGCGAGGCUGAGAGGCUGGGGACCGGAGGCUUGUGGUGCCAGGGUGGACCGGGACUGAGGCUGGAGACCAGGGGCCUGCAGCACCGGACCAGAGAACGUGUUUCUGGAGCGGAGACGUUGGGGCCGGACUUGCGCUGUUUGUUCCAGACCAGGACUCUGGCUGAGGAGAGCUGAUGGAGGAGCCAAGACUCUGGAGGACGACAUCACUCCACCAACAAGGAUCCUCACCAGGAAUCUGGAGGACUGAUGGAGAAGCCGUACGUCUGGAAGGCAAAUCCUGAGGACAACCAGGACUCUACCAUCAAGGAUUCCUCACACACCUGAGCUGAACCCCAACUGAACCUGACAUCCUGCUGGUCCCGUCUCCUCAGUUCAUCUUAGCCUCCUCUUCCAGAAGACCUGCUGAGCUCAGCAGUCUGAGGCUGAUGUAUCAAUGACCUCCAGUGGGAGUGAUCUUCUUGACCCCACAUGUAACCGUGUGCUUCCACACGCCUUUCCCUCACGUCUGUCACUAACCUCACUACUUCACUACUCUCUACUGCUUCCUCUUCUUUCUUCUCUGUGGUUCGAACCUUUACACGGAAGGCGCGUCUUCCUGCCCUCAGAGGGUUCAGCGUUAGGGUUGAGAGUCAGGGUUUAGAGUCAGGGACAGAGCUGGUCAGGACAAAGGGUGGUCAGGAGGUUUGUGGUCAACACAAACCUCUUCACUUGCUUUCGGAAUGGUGGUGACAUUUUGAAAAUAUUCAUUUGGGAAAAUGUUUUCCUCUGCUUCCCUUUACAAAAUUGUAUUAAACUUCAGUCAAGUGCUUUUGUUUAUAUAUUAAAAUUUGUUUUACCACAUGUUGAAGCAAGACUUCCGCUGUUUGUUCCAGACCAGGACUCUGUCUGAGGAGAGCUGCUGGAGGAGCUGAGACGCUGGAGGACGACUAGGAAUCGACCAACAAGGAUUCGACAAAGUGUUUCUGGAGCGGAGGUGAGCUGGUAGGGGAGCCGUGAAUCUGGAGGAUGACAUCACUCUACCAACCAGGGUUGUAAAUUUGUAUUAACCAAACAAAGUGGAAAUAAAGGGCUUAAAAAUAAGACAAACUACAUGUUUGUUACCAGUCUUUAGGGCCAGACUCGCGCUGUUUAUUCCAGACCACGACUCUGGCUAAGGAGAGCUGAUGGAGGAGCCAAGACUCUGGAGGACGACAUCACUCCACCAACCAGGAUCCUUACAAAUUACGUUUGUAACCAGACCAGGAAUCUGGAGGACUGAUGGAGAAGCCAUACAUCUGGAAGGCAAAUCCUGAGGACCACCAGGACUCUACCAUCAAGGAUUCCUCAUAAAUGUGCAUUAUCUGGACAUAGUGGACUAGACACAGCUGAGCUGAACCUCACCUGAUCCUGUUUGGUCGGGGGUAGACACACCUGAGCUGAACCCGACCUGAUCCUGACAUCCUGCUGGUCCCGUCUCCUCAGUUCAUCGGAGCCUCGUCCUCCAGAAGACCUGCUGAGCUCAGCAGUCUGAGGCUGAUGGAUCAAUGACCUCCAGUCGGAGUGAUCUUCUUGACCCCCCCACCUAACCGUGUGCUUCCACACGCCUUUCCCUCACGUCUGUCACUAACCUCACUACUUCACUACUCUCUACUGCUUCCUCUUCUUUUUCCUUCUCUGUGGUUCGAACCUUUACACGGAAGGCGCGUCUUCCUGCCCUCAGAGGGUUUAGCGUUAGGGUUGAGUGUCAGGGUUUAGAGUCAGGGACAGAGCUGGUCAGGGAGGACUGCUUUUACAAAAACCUCUUCACUUGCUUUCGGAAUGGUGGUGACAUUUUGAAAAGAUUCAUUUGGGAAAAUGUUUUCCUCUGCUUUCCUUUACAAAAUUGUAUCAAACUUAUGUCAAGUGUUUUUGUUUAUAUAUUAAAAUCCCACAUUGACUUCUACAUGUUUGUUACGGUUCAUUUAAUUGUCCUUUAACUUGGUUAAUGUCAAGCUAAACUCCCGCAAUACAUUUAAUAUACAUGAUUGUUAUUCUGCAAUGUUCACAUAAUCCAUUUUGUAAAAAUAUGAAACCUCCAUAUUACUACUAAAUUCAAGCCUAUUCAUGUAUUUAACAAUGUACAUACUGCCCCGCAGGCCAUUCUCUGCUACUACGACACGUUCAAUCCACCAACCCGUCUCACAUCAUGUACUAUAGCUACGUUGGUUCAAACGGAAAAUGUAGUUUGGUGUGAGACUGUUGUCCAGCAGAGGGAGCUGUUAUACACCUUAAUUAUACAGAAAUGUCUGUUUACAUUUUAAACCGUUCAUGGGCUGGUCUAGUUUGUCUGCAAAUAACUCUGCCUCCAGCAACAGGAUUGGUUGAAACAUAUGAAGUGAAGGAAAUAAAAGCCCAGUUCACCAGAUCUGAGGUCAGCUGCGGUCAGAUUUUGGAUUGAAUGUAUUGAGCUCGGAGGAGCUCAAUACAUUGAGGAGGAGCACGGCAGGACGCGUGUUUACCUGGUCGAUUAGUCCCUGAACGCAGACCCUGAACCCAGACAUCCUAA
Gadus chalcogrammus (walleye pollock) is the source of this 6606-nucleotide long non-coding RNA. RefSeq lists it as uncharacterized. The transcript is spliced from 10 exons. NCBI's taxonomy places the organism in Eukaryota, Metazoa, Chordata, Actinopteri, Gadiformes, Gadidae. The record is from RefSeq and is a predicted model, not a curated record.